GACGAACGCUGGCGGCGUGCUUAACACAUGCAAGUCGAACGGAAAGGCCCUGCUUUUGUGGGGUGCUCGAGUGGCGAACGGGUGAGUAACACGUGAGUAACCUGCCCUUGACUUUGGGAUAACUUCAGGAAACUGGGGCUAAUACCGGAUAGGAGCUCCUGCUGCAUGGUGGGGGUUGGAAAGUUUCGGCGGUUGGUAAUGGACUCGCGGCUUAUCAGCUUGUGGGUGGGGUAGUGUCUUACCAAGGCUUGACGGGUAGCCGGCCUGAGAGGGUGACCGGCCACAAUGGGAAUGAGAUACGGCCCAGACUCCUACGGGAGGCAGCAGUGGGGAAUAUUGCAAAAUGGGCGGAAGCCUGAUGCAGGAACGCCGCGUGCGGGAUGACGGCCUUCGGGUUGUAAACCGCUUUCGCCUGUGACGAAGAGUGAGUGACGGUAAUGGGUAAAGAAGCACCGGCUAACUACGUG
Molecule: ribosomal RNA, 467 nt
Filed under: uncultured bacterium
Lineage: Bacteria
Description: partial 16S ribosomal RNA
Rfam family: Bacterial small subunit ribosomal RNA
Source: RNAcentral